UGGGGAAUAUUGGACAAUGGGGGAAACCCUGAUCCAGCAAUGCCGCGUGAGUGAAGAAGGCCUUAGGGUUGUAAAGCUCUUUUGCCCGCGAAGAUAAUGACGGUAGCGGGAGAAGAAGCCCCGGCUAACUCCGUGCCAGCAGCCGCGGUAAUACGGAGGGGGCUAGCGUUGUUCGGAAUUACUGGGCGUAAAGCGUACGUAGGCGGAUGCGCAAGUUGGGGGUGAAAUCCCGGGGCGUAACCUCGGAAUUGCCCUCAAAACUGCACGUCUUGAGACCGAGAGAGGUAAGGGGAAUUCCUAGUGUAGAGGUGAAAUUCGUAGAUAUUAGGAAGAACACCAGUGGCGAAGGCGCCUUACUGGCUCGGUACUGACGCUGAGGUACGAA
Molecule: ribosomal RNA, 385 nt
Filed under: uncultured bacterium
Lineage: Bacteria
Description: bacterial SSU rRNA
Rfam family: Bacterial small subunit ribosomal RNA
Source: RNAcentral